RNAcentral lists this ribosomal RNA (250 nucleotides) under uncultured bacterium. RNAcentral's name for it is "partial 16S ribosomal RNA". It matches the Rfam family "Bacterial small subunit ribosomal RNA", at positions 57 to 305 of the family's 1533-position model. The record is from RNAcentral.
GCAAGUCGAGCGGUAACAUUUCUAGCUUGCUAUUCGGCGUCGAGCGGCGGACGGGUGAGUAAUGCUUGGGAAUAUGCCUUUGAGUGGGGGACAACAGUUGGAAACGACUGCUAAUACCGCAUAAUGUCUACGGACCAAAGGGGGGGAUCUUCGGACCUCUCGCCAUUUGAUUAGCCCAAGUGAGAUUAGCUAGUUGGUGAGGUAAUGGCUCACCAAGGCGACGAUCUCUAGCUGGUUUGAGAGGAUGAUC